GGUAUCUAGCUAUAAGUUAAACCUGAUCGAUCAAAUGGAUAGGUGUAAGCAAUUAUGGUAAUUCCAAAUGCCCUUAACUAGAUUUCUUUGCUAGACAGACACAGAGAGAGAGGGGGGAAGAAAGUGAGAAAGAAAGGAUGAAAGUGAGAGAGGGAGAGAGAGGUGGGAAGAGGGUGGAUGACAGACAGCGAGAGAGAGAGAUGGAGACAGAGAAACAGGGAAAGCAAGACGCUUCUUCUGACAGCUGGGCAAGGUGGACAGCUGGGCAAGUGAAAUAACCUUUUGUUUAUCAAUCACAUUCUGUUAUAUCUGAAAUUAUUAUGAUUUCAAUGAAUGUCAUAUCAGAGAGCACACAAUGUUUCAAUUUGUAAUUGUUUGGUUAAAGGUCAGUACCCUGUCUAGCCUGCCAGAAGUUUGAGAGGGUGAAGAUUGUGGCGCCAGAGUUGAAGCUCAUCAAAGUUGUUUUUGGGACGAGACUGGCGAGGCCACCUCCAAGACGAUGAUAUUCAACUCCCACGGUUCUCCUGAGGUCAUCUUGAGUGACCGAGGUCAUGAACAAGGUUUGGUGAAUGGACCAACCAGACCCUCAAGACCGCUAUGGACAAGUCCCUUGUCGGAUACCAGAAACGGUGAGAGAACAACCUGAAGGUAAUUCUCUUUACAGCAGCGUCCAGGCUUUCACCGAGUACCGACAGGAGCCACAGCUGUUGACUGAGAUUUCUGAUGGAAGUCGUUGAACCAGAUCAGAACGCUUCGAGGACCACCUUCUGUCCCAGAUUGAGAAGGAAGUGGAGGUUUUUGACCAGGUGAGACUGAACAUCGACAAGGCGCAGGAGAAACUGAAUGAGAGCUACCGGAGCAGAAUCAAGAAGGGGACCAAGUGCUACGACAUCCGGGUGAAUUACUUGGUUUGGAAGAAGGACAAAAGGAAGGCCAGAGCUGGGAAACCUCGCUGCUCUUACGCUGCUAGCUGGGGUCACCAUCUGGGUUACCUUGGUGGAAGCCAACAAUAUUCUCCAGUUGGAGCAGUUGGACGGUCGACCACUGAAAGCCCUGACGUCCUACACUUCGGUGAAGCCCAAAAGACAAAGCCCAGCACUGCAAACACUCAGAACAAAGGGAGCAGCAGUGCCUGGACUUUGCAGUCUCCCUCUUCAAGUCCCCUUUCUGAGAGUGUUGAGCUGUUGAGAACAAGUGACAGGCAGAACCUCCCACCCACACAUCAACCACCUCCUCGAUAUUCCACACACCAGAAUUCAGUACUUGAGUCUAUGAUUGCCAUGUGAGUGUACAAAAAAUCUGUGAUAAAUUAAUGACUUAACUGUACCAAAAAAAAUCUACGUUUAUAUAUUAAUAUCUUAAAUAUUGCCCUGUUGGUUUUCACAGCUGUUUCACAAGCUAUUCUUUAUUGUAAGUUGUAAGCUAUCCUUUGAUGGUAUUUAUUUGUUCCAUAUUAUUCGUUGUUGUAACCUAGGAUCUAAAACAGAUACAUAUAUG
Salvelinus sp. IW2-2015 is the source of this 1497-nucleotide long non-coding RNA. RefSeq lists it as uncharacterized. The record is from RefSeq and is a predicted model, not a curated record. Lineage: Eukaryota; Metazoa; Chordata; Actinopteri; Salmoniformes; Salmonidae.